This 468-nucleotide ribosomal RNA is filed under the name uncultured bacterium. Its description in RNAcentral is "partial 16S ribosomal RNA". It matches the Rfam family "Bacterial small subunit ribosomal RNA", at positions 28 to 507 of the family's 1533-position model. The record is from RNAcentral.
GACGAACGCUGGCGGCGUGCUUAACACAUGCAAGUCGAACGGAAAGGCCCUGCUUUUGUGGGGUGCUCGAGUGGCGAACGGGUGAGUAACACGUGAGUAACCUGCCCUUGACUUUGGGAUAACUUCAGGAAACUGGGGCUAAUACCGGAUAGGAGCUCCUGCUGCAUGGUGGGGGGUGGAAAGUUUCGGCGGUUGGGGAUGGACUCGCAGCUUAUCAGCUUGUUGGUGGGGUAGUGGCUUACCAAGGCUUUGACGGGUAGCCGGCCUGAGAGGGUGACCGGCCACAUUGGGACUGAGAUACGGCCCAGACUCCUACGGGAGGCAGCAGUGGGGAAUAUUGCACAAUGGGCGGAAGCCUGAUGCAGCAACGCCGCGUGCGGGAUGACGGCCUUCGGGUUGUAAACCGCUUUCGCCUGUGACGAAGCGUGAGUGACGGUAAUGGGUAAAGAAGCACCGGCUAACUACGUG